UGCCCCCUGUUUGGAGGAUGAUGUUGGAGAUGCUUGCCACAGAGAAUAGUCACUGUAUGAGAUCAGACAGGUAGUCCAUACAUUACAGGAAAGGUCUCUUUAAUCAGUCUUUCUUCAACUGCCUACCUCUUUUAAAGUGGAAGGAGAGGCUGUUUCUAACUGAGGAAUAUGAACCUUAUCCCACUGGAAAUUUUGCCAAGGUCAUCUGCUUUUUUUCCUGCCUUUCCCUCAGAAGAAAAAACAUUCAAAAGGUCACCAUCAUCUAGACUGAUGAGCCCAUAUCUUGCAUCUUUGGAAAACCAGCCUCUUCUGCAGCUAAUAUAACUAAAUAUCCACCUUAGAGAGUCAAAGUUCACCUGAGGAUCUAUUACCACUCUCCAGGUUUCAGAAGAGUCUUUGCAAACCUUUUCGUAUUUGACCUUUUCAGCCAUCGCCUUGCAAAAUUGGAGUCAACUAAGACAGGGAACUAGGUAUAACUGUGGUAGUCCAGUAUUGACUUUCAUGGAGUAGUGCAUGAGAAAUAAGCAGUUGCACAUGCUCUCCUUUUGCGUUUCUCAAGAAGUUUCAGACAGAGUCACUUAAAAGUAUAUCCAUUCAGAUGAGUCAACAGACCUCUGUGAGCAGUGCUGACAGUGUGCACUGACAGUCGGAUCAGACUGCACAUUGCAUGCAGACAGCACACAAAGAAGCCAGUCCUGUAUUAGAGAGGGGUUACUUCUGAGCACAACUGCCACUGAAGUCACACGCUGAGAAUUUUGUUUAUAAAAUGAAUUCCGUAGGUACAAGUCAUCAGGAGAAGAAAAAGCCCCAUGGACGGUAUUAUAUAAUCCAGAUAAAUUUACUAAUAGGGGAUUUUCCAGUGGAAGAAACCUUACAUCAUGCUUAAGCAAGUAAAAAUAAACCUGGCAAUUGCAUUUGUUCA
This 922-nucleotide long non-coding RNA is filed under the name Dromaius novaehollandiae (emu). Its description in RNAcentral is "lncRNA (ENSDNVG00000002392.1)". Lineage: Eukaryota; Metazoa; Chordata; Aves; Casuariiformes; Dromaiidae. The record is from RNAcentral.